GUCUACGGCCAUACCAUCCUGAAUGCGCCCGAUAGCGUCUGGUCUCAGAAGCUAAGCAGGGCUGGGCCCAGUUAGUACUUGGAUGGGAGAAUAAAACAUCAUAAUUG
Non-coding RNA from Ailuropoda melanoleuca (giant panda), 107 nucleotides. NCBI's taxonomy places the organism in Eukaryota, Metazoa, Chordata, Mammalia, Carnivora, Ursidae. The record is from Rfam.